CCAGGGGGCUGGACGGUCGCCGGUCUCUUUCGGGAGGCGGGAGGAAAGUCCGGACUCCGCAGGGCAGGGUGCCGGUUAAUGGCCGGGCGGCGUGAGCCGACGGACAGUGCAACAGAAACAUACCGCCGGGCCGCCUUCGGGCAGCCCGGUAAGGGCGAAAUGGUGCGGUAAGAGCGCACCGGCGUCGUGGUAACACGGCGGCCGUGCAAACCCCACCCGGAGCAAGGCCAAAUAGGGGGACAUACGGGCGGCCCGUCCUGUCCCCGGGUAGGUUGCUGGAGGCGGCGGGUAACCGCCGUCCUAGAUGGAUGGCCGUCGCCGCGUCCCGGUUGGGCUCGGGACGCGGUACAGAAUCCGGCUUACAGGCCCCCUGGCGCC
This 378-nucleotide RNase P RNA is filed under the name Dehalococcoidia bacterium. Its description in RNAcentral is "RNase P RNA component class A". It matches the Rfam family "Bacterial RNase P class A". Rfam says of the family: Ribonuclease P (RNase P) is a ubiquitous endoribonuclease, found in archaea, bacteria and eukarya as well as chloroplasts and mitochondria. Lineage: Bacteria; Bacillati; Chloroflexota; Dehalococcoidia. The record is from RNAcentral.